This 147-nucleotide unclassified non-coding RNA is filed under the name uncultured Leotiomycetes. RNAcentral's name for it is "sequence contains ITS2". The record is from RNAcentral. Lineage: Eukaryota; Fungi; Ascomycota; Leotiomycetes.
CAACCCUCAAGCACGGCUUGGUAUUGGGUGUCACCUAGCAAUGGUGCACCUUAAAAUCAGUGGCAGUACCACCUGGCUUCAAGUGUAGUAAUUAUCGUACUUUGGAGGCUUAGGUGUAUUCUUGCUAUCAACCCCUAAUUUUUCAAA